Molecule: ribosomal RNA, 253 nt
Filed under: uncultured bacterium
Lineage: Bacteria
Description: partial 16S ribosomal RNA
Rfam family: Bacterial small subunit ribosomal RNA
Source: RNAcentral
UACAGAGGGGGCAAGCGUUGUUCGGAAUUACUGGGCGUAAAGGGCGCGUAGGCGGCCCGCUAAGUCGAACGUGAAAUCCCCGGGCUCAACCCGGGAACUGCGUCCGAUACUGGCAGGCUUGAAUUCGGGAGAGGGAUGUGGAAUUCCAGGUGUAGCGGUGAAAUGCGUAGAUAUCUGGAGGAACACCGGUGGCGAAGGCGGGUCUCUGGGCCGAUACUGACGCUGAGGAGCGAAAGCGUGGGGAGCGAACAGG